Molecule: ribosomal RNA, 1324 nt
Filed under: metagenome
Description: bacterial LSU rRNA
Rfam family: Bacterial large subunit ribosomal RNA
Source: RNAcentral
AGUGGAUGGGGAGCAACCUAGUUGUGCGUGUGUAAAGGUAGUGCCAAGAAAAGCGAUGAUCAUGUUGAAAAUCAAUUCCCGGUACCCGAAACCGACACAGGUGGGCAAGUAGAGAAUACUAAGGGGCGCGAGGUAACUCUCUCCAAGGAACUCGGCAAAAUGACCCCGUAACUUAGGGAGAAGGGGUGCCACCGAGAGGUGGUCGCAGUGAAGAGGCCCAGGCGACUGUUUAGCAAAAACAUAGGUCUCUGCAAACUCGAAGGAGGAGGUAUAGGGGCUGACGCCUGCCCAGUGCCGGAAGGUUAAAGAAGUUGGUCAGUUUUAGGAUGAAGCUAGCGACUGAAGCCCCGGUGAACGGCGGCCGUAACUAUAACGGUCCUAAGGUAGCGAAAUUCCUUGUCGGGUAAGUUCCGACCCGCACGAAAGGCGUAACGAUCUGGGCGCUGUCUCGGAGAGAGGCUCGGCGAAAUAGGAUUGUCUGUGAAGAUACGGACUACCUGCAUUUGGACAGAAAGACCCUAUGAAGCUUUACUAUAGCUUGGAAUUGUGUUCGGGCUUCCUGUGCGCAGGAUAGGUGGGAGGCGUAGAAGGUAUUCUUGUGGGGAUACUGGAGCCAACGGUGAGAUACCACUCUCAGGAGGCUAGAAUUCUAACUUAAUUAAGGACAGUUUCAGGUGGGUAGUUUGACUGGGGCGGUCGCCUCCAAAAAGGUAACGGAGGCGUACAAAGGUUCCCUCAGACUGGUUGGAAAUCAGUCGAAGAGUGCAAAGGCAGAAGGGAGCUUGACUGCGAGAAGUACAGUUCGAGCAGGGUGGAAACACGGUCUUAGUGAUCCGACGGUGCUGUGUGGAAGGGCCGUCGCUCAACGGAUAAAAGUUACUCUAGGAUAACAGGCUGAUCUCCCCCAAGAGUUCACAUCGACGGGGAGGUUUGGCACCUCGAUGUCGGCUCAUCGCAACCUGGGGCGGAAGUACGUCCCAAGGGUUGGGCUGUUCGCCCAUUAAAGCGGUACGUGAGCUGGGUUCAGAACGUCGUGAGACAGUUCGGUCCAUAUCCGAUGUAGGCGUGAAAUAUUGAGAGGAGCCUUCCUUAGUACGAGAGGACCGGGAAGGACGCACCGCUGGUGUACCUGUUAUGAUGCCAAUUGUAAACGCAGGGUAGCCAAGUGCGGAGAGGAUAACCGCUGAAAGCAUCUAAGUGGGAAGCCCACCUCAAGAUGAGUAUUCUGGUGUAAGGUCACGGGAAGACGACCCGUAAAUAGGCACGAGGUGGAAGUGCAGAGAUGUAUGAAGCCGAAGUGUACUAAUAGACCGUCGGCUUGACC